RNAcentral lists this ribosomal RNA (497 nucleotides) under uncultured bacterium. Its description in RNAcentral is "partial 16S ribosomal RNA". It matches the Rfam family "Bacterial small subunit ribosomal RNA", at positions 28 to 507 of the family's 1533-position model. The record is from RNAcentral.
GAUGAACGCUGGCGGCGUGCCUAAUACAUGCAAGUCGGGCGAACGGACGAGAAGUUUGCUUCUCUGAUGUUAGCGGCGGACGGGUGAGUAACACGUGGUUAACCUACCUAUAAGACUGGGCUAACUUCGGGAAAUCGGAGCUAAUACCGGAUAAUAUUUUGAACCGCAUGGUUCAAACGUGAAAGACGGUCUUGCUGUCACUUAUAGAUGGAUCCGCGCUGCAUUAGCUAGUUGGUAAGGUAACGGCAUACCAAGGCAACGAUGCAUAGCCGACCUGAGAGGGUGAUCGGCCACACUGGAACUGAGACACAGACCAGACUCCGACGGGGAGCAGCAGUAGGGAAUCUUCCGCGAUGGGCGAAAGCCUAACGGUGCAACACCGCGGGAGUGAUGAAGGUCUUCGGAUCGUAAAACUCUGUUAUUAGUGAAGAACAUAUGUGUAAUUAACUGAGCACAUCUUGACGGUACCUAAUCAAGAAGCCACGGCUAACUACGUG